This 395-nucleotide ribosomal RNA is filed under the name uncultured bacterium. Its description in RNAcentral is "bacterial SSU rRNA". It matches the Rfam family "Bacterial small subunit ribosomal RNA", at positions 30 to 429 of the family's 1533-position model. The record is from RNAcentral.
AUUGAACGCUGGCGGCAUGCCUUACACAUGCAAGUCGAACGGCAGCGCGGGGCAACCUGGCGGCGAGUGGCGAACGGGUGAGUAACAUAUCGGAACAUACCCUAGAGUGGGGGAUAACGUAGCGAAAGUUACGCUAAUACCGCAUACGCACUAAGGUGGAAAGUGGGGGAUCUUCGGACCUCAUGCUCAUGGAGUGGCCGAUAUCUGAUUAGCUAGUUGGUGAGGUAAAGGCUCACCAAGCCGACGAUCUGUAGCUGGUCUGAGAGGACGACCAGCCACACUGGGACUGAGACACGGCCCAGACUCCUACGGGAGGCAGCAGUGGGGAAUUUUGGACAAUGGGCGCAAGCCUGAUCCAGCAAUGCCGCGUGCAGGAUGAAGGCCUCGGUUGUAAC